RNAcentral lists this ribosomal RNA (433 nucleotides) under uncultured bacterium. Its description in RNAcentral is "partial 16S ribosomal RNA". It matches the Rfam family "Bacterial small subunit ribosomal RNA", at positions 29 to 507 of the family's 1533-position model. The record is from RNAcentral.
AACUAACGCUGGCGGCAUGCCUAACACAUGCAAGUCGAACGAGACCUUCGGGUCUAGUGGCGCACGGGUGCGUAACGCGUGGGAACCUUCCCUUAGGUUCGGAAUAACUCCCCGAAAGGGGUGCUAAUACCGGAUAAUGUCUUCGGACCAAAGAUUUAUCGCCUUUGGAUGGGCCCGCGUUGGAUUAGCUAGUUGGUAGGGUAAAAGCCUACCAAGGCGACGAUCCAUAGCUGGUCUGAGAGGAUGAUCAGCCACACUGGGACUGAGACACGGCCCAGACUCCUACGGGAGGCAGCAGUGGGGAAUAUUGGAAAAUGGGCGAAAGCAUGAUCCAGCAAUGCCGCGUGAGUGAUGAAGGCCUUAGGGUUGUAAAGCUCUUUUACCCGGGAUGAUAAUGACAGUACCGGGAGAAUAAGCUCCGGCUAACUCCGUG